ACGAAGGUCCCAAGCGUUGUUCGGAAUUACUGGGCGUAAAGCGUCUGUAGGCGGCGCGGUAAGUCAGAUGUGAAAUCCCGGGGCUCAACCUCGGAACUGCAUCCGAUACUGCCGUGCUAGAGUAUUGGAGGGGAGUCUGGAAUUCUCGGUGUAGCAGUGAAAUGCGUAGAUAUCGAGAGGAACACUAGUGGCGAAGGCGAGACUCUGGACAAUAACUGACGCUGAGAGACGAAGGCCAGGGUAGCGAAAAGG
RNAcentral lists this ribosomal RNA (252 nucleotides) under uncultured bacterium. RNAcentral's name for it is "partial 16S ribosomal RNA". It matches the Rfam family "Bacterial small subunit ribosomal RNA", at positions 525 to 776 of the family's 1533-position model. The record is from RNAcentral.